GUGCCAGCAGCCGCGGUAAUACGGAGGGUGCAAGCGUUAUCCGGAAUUAUUGGGCGUAAAGCGUCCGUAGGUGGUUAGUCAAGUCAGUUGUUAAAGCGUGGAGCUAAACUCCAUAAGGGCAAUUGAAACUGAUUAGCUAGAGUGCGAUAGGGGCAAGGGGAAUUCCCAGUGUAGCGGUGAAAUGCGUAGAUAUUGGGAAGAACAUCGGUGGCGAAAGCGCCUUGCUGGGUCUGCACUGACACUGAGGGACGAAAGCUAGGGGAGCGAAAGGGAUUAGAAACCCCAGUAGUCC
RNAcentral lists this ribosomal RNA (292 nucleotides) under uncultured bacterium. Its description in RNAcentral is "partial 16S ribosomal RNA". It matches the Rfam family "Bacterial small subunit ribosomal RNA", at positions 505 to 796 of the family's 1533-position model. The record is from RNAcentral.